RNAcentral lists this ribosomal RNA (422 nucleotides) under uncultured bacterium. RNAcentral's name for it is "bacterial SSU rRNA". It matches the Rfam family "Bacterial small subunit ribosomal RNA", at positions 355 to 774 of the family's 1533-position model. The record is from RNAcentral.
UAAGGAAUAUUUGUCAAUGGACGCAAGUCUGAACCAGCCAUGCCGCGUGAAGGAUUAAGGCCCUCUGGGUUGUAAACUUCUUUUAUAGGGGAAGAAAUGUGAUGGUUCUCCGUCACUUGACGGUACCCUGGGAAUAAGCACCGGCUAACUCCGUGCCAGCAGCCGCGGUAAUACGGAGGGUGCAAGCGUUAUCCGGAUUCACUGGGGUUAAAGGGUGCGUAGGUGGGCAGAUAAGUCAGUGGUGAAAUCUUCCGGCUUAACCGGGAAACUGCCGUUGAUACUAUUUGUCUUGAAUAUUGCGGAGGUAAGCGGAAUAUGUCAUGUAGCGGUGAAAUGCUUAGAUAUGACAUAGAACACCAAUUGCGAAGGCAGCUUACUACACAAUCAUUGACACUGAGGCACGAAAGCGUGGGUAGCGAACA